AAUUUGUCUCUCCAUUUGCCGCUAGGCUGAAGGUUCAAAUUUCUAUUGUUUACAGCAAGUUAUGAUCAAUUACAAGCACACCUUCGUGGCGUGCAUGUCCAGCGUCAUCAGCCACGCAUUCAUAUUCUGUGCUAUUGUCCACCAACCAGAUUUCCAUGUCUUCAGUGCAUACGAAUCUCGCUGUUUUCUUUAUAUGAGAAAUACAGUAGUAAACCGAACCAAAUAGAUCGAGGAACUUUGAAUCCUUUGCUUCUAUAAAACAAAAACUUCUGUGAUUUUGUCUCAAUAAGUGAGAUACGUCAGUUGUACAGAUAAACUUAUAAUAUAAAUAUUAGCUUCCCAAAACUCCAGUGAUACUAUCACAAAUACAUAGCCUACUGACACUUAGGGGGCAUCAUGUCAUAUUUUCUACAACAAUUAGACACUAACACGACCAGCUAAUUUGAAGUAGCAUUGCUUGGAUACAAUACAAAUUUACAUUUGUCAACGCAAUGUUGUUCAUCCACUGGUACGCUCCAGGCAGGGC
This 526-nucleotide long non-coding RNA is filed under the name Sorghum bicolor (sorghum). Its description in RNAcentral is "long non-coding RNA (SBIC_LNC013553)". The record is from RNAcentral. Lineage: Eukaryota; Viridiplantae; Streptophyta; Magnoliopsida; Poales; Poaceae.